RNAcentral lists this ribosomal RNA (395 nucleotides) under uncultured organism. RNAcentral's name for it is "eukaryotic LSU rRNA". The stretch from base 21 to 174 matches the Rfam family "5.8S ribosomal RNA". The record is from RNAcentral.
UGUAACAAAUUAAUAAUUACAACUUUCAACAACGGAUCUCUUGGUUCUGGCAUCGAUGAAGAACGCAGCGAAAUGCGAUAAGUAGUGUGAAUUGCAGAAUUCAGUGAAUCAUCGAAUCUUUGAACGCACAUUGCGCCCUUUGGUAUUCCAAAGGGCAUGCCUGUUCGAGCGUCAUUUGUACCCUCAAGCUUUGCUUGGUGUUGGGCGUCUUGUCUCUAGCUUUGCUGGAGACUCGCCUUAAAGUAAUUGGCAGCCGGCCUACUGGUUUCGGAGCGCAGCACAAGUCGCACUCUCUAUCAGCAAAGGUCUAGCAUCCAUUAAGCCUUUUUUCAACUUUUGACCUCGGAUCAGGUAGGGAUACCCGCUGAACUUAAGCAUAUCAAUAAGCGGAGGAA